AUUGAACGCUGGCGGCAGGCCUAACACAUGCAAGUCGAACGGUAACAGGAAGAAGCUUGCUUCUUUGCUGACGAGUGGCGGACGGGUGAGUAAUGUCUGGGAAACUGCCUGAUGGAGGGGGAUAACUACUGGAAACGGUAGCUAAUACCGCAUAACGUCGCAAGACCAAAGAGGGGGACCUUCGGGCCUCUUGCCAUCGGAUGUGCCCAGAUGGGAUUAGCUAGUAGGUGGGGUAACGGCUCACCUAGGCGACGAUCCCCAGCUGGUCUGAGAGGAUGACCAGCCACACUGGAACUGAGACACGGUCCAGACUCCUACGGGAGGCAGCAGUGGGGAAUAUUGCACAAUGGGCGAAAGCCUGAUGCAGCCAUGCCGCGUGUAUGAAGAAGGCCUUCGGGUUGUAAAGUACUUUCAGCGGGGAGGAAGGGAGUAAAGUUAAUACCUUUGCUCAUUGACGUUACCAGCAGAAGAAGCACCGGCUAACUCCGUG
Molecule: ribosomal RNA, 490 nt
Filed under: uncultured bacterium
Lineage: Bacteria
Description: partial 16S ribosomal RNA
Rfam family: Bacterial small subunit ribosomal RNA
Source: RNAcentral